GACGAACGCUGGCGGCGUGCCUAACACAUGCAAGUCGAGCGGGGACAUUGCGACGGAUAUGAAGUUUUCGGAUGGAUUUGAAGAUGUAAUGUUCUAGCGGCGGACGGGUGAGUAACGCGUGAGCAACCUGUCCCUUACAGGGGGAUAACACAGCGAAAGUUGUACUAAUACCGCAUGAGACCACAGAGCGACAUCGCUUAGGGGUCAAAGGAGCAAUCCGGUAAGGGGUGGGCUCGCGUCCGAUUAGAUAGUUGGUGAGGUAACGGCCCACCAAGUCGACGAUCGGUAGCCGACCUGAGAGGGUGAUCGGCCACAUUGGGACUGAGACACGGCCCAAACUCCUACGGGAGGCAGCAGUGGGGAAUAUUGGGCAAUGGGGGAAACCCUGACCCAGCAACGCCGCGUGAGGGAAGAAGGUUUUCGGAUCGUAAACCUCUGUCCUUGGUGAAGAGAAAGAGACGGAGC
This 465-nucleotide ribosomal RNA is filed under the name bacterium YGD2004. Its description in RNAcentral is "bacterial SSU rRNA". It matches the Rfam family "Bacterial small subunit ribosomal RNA", at positions 28 to 462 of the family's 1533-position model. The record is from RNAcentral.